Long non-coding RNA from Oenanthe melanoleuca, 1251 nucleotides. RefSeq lists it as uncharacterized. NCBI's taxonomy places the organism in Eukaryota, Metazoa, Chordata, Aves, Passeriformes, Muscicapidae. The record is from RefSeq and is a predicted model, not a curated record. The transcript has 2 exons.
CUGGAGCCGCUCCCAGCUCCGGGGCCGCUGCUUUGUUCGCUGAAAGACCCACCGAGCGCGGCCGCUGCACUUUAAAGUCGAUUUGGCGGCCGAGCGGCUUUUGGCCCUUUUGACCAUUCAUUGUGCGGGGCAGGAAGCGAGGCGGAGCUCGGUGCCAUCACACCCCAAAGUUAGUAAUGAACCUCAUCCCCCGGGCAAUCUGUUUCUGGGCUUACUCGAGGGCGGGCUGCUGCCAGGGCACAGACAAGGUAAGACACAGCGCAGCGCUGGCGGUGGCGGCACCCAGCGGUGCCCGGAUUCUUUGACCCUUAAGAUCAGUAAAAUGGAGCUUUCCCUCAAUUCAAUCCCAUAGAACAACACCGUUAAACGCAUUGUUAUUCCAUUUAAACAUGAAAUUAAUAGGAAACCGUUAUUUCUCCCCUAGUGAAACACCAAAAAUCAUGACAAAGGUGUAUUUUCCUUCAACUGAGAACCUUCAAAUUGUAGGUGAACGGGGGUCCUCCUCAUUUCAAACACAAUUACUGUAAAGGAGUUUUUCUCCUCCUUUUUAAAUCUCUUUUGUUCUAGUAACACCCCUUUCUUUUUCUUUUAGUGAGGAGGCGCACUGGGGAGUGACUGGUGUCACUUCUCCCGCCUCACUGGUCGCACCUGGCGCUGCUGCACGCUGCCGAGUGCUGCGGAGUUUCCUCUCAGUUACCUCAGACUGAUAGCACUGUAGAUUUAAUUAGCACACACAGCUUGAUAACCAAGAUAGCUUUGCAGGUGCAAACAGAGCUGUGAAGAUUACAAGAAGAUUGGAUCAAGUCAUGCUGAUAAGAGAAAGUAAAUAGAAGUGUAAAGUUUAACUAAACGACUGUAAUAAAAACUUUCUAGCCUUCCCAAAAUGGUCCAUACGCACAUGUAGCUCCCUGUACAUUUGCAUUCUGAUCUCCAGUCAGUGUCCCCGUCUCUCUCUCAAUCGUCGCUCAUCGAUGCUCCCGUGUCAGCAGAAGGACCGGCCCCCCUGGCGGCGAUGGGCGAGCCCCGGAACUGAUCCUGACGGUGACAGAACCGCGUCUGGGCCACGAUCACCUGUCCUGCUGCGCCCUGACAGGUGAGCAUCUUAUUAUGGAUCAAUCCCACACUGGAAAAGAGUCUUCAUACCCUACUGCUCUUUGCAUCACCCAAAGAGUUCAGAGGCUGCUGCCCAAUGAGCUCCUUAUCAGCCCCUUGUUCAUUUGUAAAAACAUCAAUAAAUUGCAGCGAGCAUUG